This is a long non-coding RNA of Peromyscus californicus insignis, 6762 nucleotides long. RefSeq lists it as uncharacterized. Lineage: Eukaryota; Metazoa; Chordata; Mammalia; Rodentia; Cricetidae. The record is from RefSeq and is a predicted model, not a curated record. The transcript has 5 exons.
UGCUGUAUCUACGCCACGGGCUUCUCUGAAAUCCAGCCACACCACUGGGAAGGAGAAGGACCAGAGAAGAAGAGCCAGGCUUCCCAGAAUACGCCAGCAGGAGGGGAGCUGGGGGUGGCUGGAGAGGCAGCUGCAUUGGGCACAGUUGGCAUGCCCAGCUCCUGGCAGCUGUGCAGAGCAAGCGGGAGCCGUCUCCCUUCGCCGCCGCCGUGUGGGCUGCGGCAGAACCGUGAGGUGUGGGGUGGCAGGCGCGGGUGGCAGGCCUGCCAGCUGCCUGGAAGCGACUCCUCAGGCACUGUUAGCUGUCGUCUGUUCAUCUAGCCAUCGAGAGCAUGAAGGAGCCUCUAGAACCUUCCACAGCUGGCCGGAGCUUCUCUCUGCCCACGGGAUGACUGUCUGGGAAGUCCUGAGCCUCCUAGCUUUGUGACUCUGCCUUCAGUGAAAAGCUUCUUUGUGGACUGCGGAUGAAAUGACACUCCCCGCAGGGACCAGCCCAACCAUUUGUUUUGGCUGCGUUCAAAGCCACACUUUUGGUGGCCAGGGUCUAAUUCUCCACCCUGGAGUGACUCAGAGGCCCAGAGAGGAAACCAGCAGUUUUGAGGGAGAGAACACCACACCACGGAGAGCUGUCUGUCUGCCUCCAAAUGUGUCCUGAGGGGACCAGUGUUUACCACUGCAUUUACCAAAGGCACGAAACCCCACACAACCCGGGUCUGUGACCAUGACCUUGGUCCUCCUGGCAAUCUCUGUUCUGCACCUAUUUAACAACCAGCUAAGGUGGUGUUUGUGGAGCCCCUGCUGUGUUCAGGACCUGACUAAGCCCCUGCUGAAAAUUGUGGGGUUAACAUGGCUAUGGCCCUAUGCUGAGGCUCCUCGUGCAGCCCUCCUGGUAUCCCCCAGGGUGGGUGCUAAUGACCUAGAGAAGCAGGAAACAGGAUUUCUCCCAGGGCAGUUCCACCCGUGUUUAUGUGGUGGCUGAAAAGACAGUUUUGCUGCUAAGAGAACUGGCUGCUCUUGAAGAGAAUCUGGGUUCAAUUCCCAGCUCCCACAUGGUGGCUCACAACCGUCUGUAACUUCAGUUCCUGAGGAGCAGACACCUAUUCCAGGCCUCCGCAGCACCAGACAUAUAUUCAGGCAAAACACCCAUACACAUUAAAUAAGUAAAUAAUUUUUAAAUGACUGUGUUCAUGGGACAAGGAAAAGGCAGCAGAAGCGUGUAACAGCAUCAACAGCAGUUGGUGUUGAUGGUGAGGAUCAACUACCCUUUCAUGCCUGAUGCAAGACUCAGGUUCUCAGCCGUAAGUAGGUACCAUUGCUCAGUAUGGGUGCGGACACAUCUUAAUUAUAAAAGUAAUUUAUGCAAAUUGAAAACCGGGGGAGUCACUAGCUCCCUUUCCCAUGCCGGAGCAUGGCCCUCCAGUCCCCACAAGUGGGUCCUUGGUGGUUCCAUCUGGACUUGGAGCCUGGUAAUAACACUCAACUCUGGCCUGACUGAAGAAAUUCAUAUUUACCUCGAGAGGUGCUUGGGGCCCAGCUUCUGCAUGUUUACCCAGUUCCAUGUGGAAACUGCUCAGAAAGUCACAUCUGAAACCAGAGGGACAGUGAAGUCUGUGAAGUUUCUGCCAUGUGAGCGGGACGGCCUGGGCCCCACCCUCGGAACCCACUAAAUAACCACGGCAGCCACGGCAGACACAUCUGCCUGCAGGAACAGACAGCAGGACCCUGGAGCGGGAUGGCCAGUCAAGCUAGCCAGAACCAUGAGGAAAACAGUCAGAUAAUACGGGCCUCUGGCCCACAGAUGCAAGCACAAACAUCCAAACACAUAUGCACAUAGAUGCACGGGCACCUACAUAUGUGCGCACACACAUGCCCCCAUGCCCACACACGCAUGCACUCACACACACACACACACACACACACAUGCACACACACACAUACACAUACAUGCAUACACACUCAUACACGCACACACACAUGUACAUACAUACACACACACACACGCACACGCAUGCACGCACGCACGCACGCACGCACGCACACCAACUUUUCUUCUGAACAGAUGGCAGCUUCACUCGGAAUCGUGUGUUAAUCAGAAACACAUCAUCCAUAUUGUCAACACUUUGUUUAACCACUUCUAUAAAUUCAGCAUUAGUGUUGGAGCGGUCCUGGGUUGAUGGAUGGAGUCGUCGGCUGCCCUCGACAGCCAGAGCCCAUAAAACUAAGUCUGGGGCUCGAGACUCCAAAGACAGAGACACUCGACAUUCACCCAGACUUGUGAUGUGUGGACAACGAUGUGGCUCUGGGCUGGAAGGAAUGGUGGGUCCCCCAGGAAGCCCACGAGAUGCGGAGAAGCAAGAGCGCCCCUCCAGGAUCCUACAGGAGUUAUUUUUGAGAAAUCUCAACCCCAGAGAUUCUGGGUGUGCCUAGAAAAAAGCCGCACUCAGGAGUACAGAGUGCAAUUUCCAUCCUCUGAAGGGAGCUCUGUGGAGCAUGUGGCUACCAAAUACCGAAGGCGGCAGGAUCGGGCUGUGACGCUCCACUUGACUAUGACAAGAAGCUGGAGCCUCCCAUCUGUCUGUCUGCCUGCCUGUUGUCCUGGGCUCUGCCCCUGGCUGAGAGGCACACAUCUGCAAGCUGCCCUGGGGAAGUUGUCCCUGUGCCCUGUUGAGAACCACAAGGAGCAAGGUGGUGACUUCAGAGUUGAGGAGGGACACAGACUGUCCUCCUAGUACACUCCAGCCAGAUGAAUGGAGAACAGCACAAGGGCAUACAGUCGGGGGGGGGGGGGCGCAGGACCUCUGACUCAUGCUGGAGGUCGGGGCAGGUACUAUUUAGGAUACCCAGAGGAAGAGGCAGAGGAGGGUGCUCCCAGACACGAGGAGAAGCCUGGGGCUGCAGGUGAGUGCUUCCCUGGGGAUCUGAGAAGGAGGGAGUGGCCAGGGGCAAGGUUAGAAGGAAGAGCCAGGGCCAGGUCACACAGAAACUUUCGAGGCUCUUUAUUCCAGUGGAGGAAACUAAGGCAAUCAGUGGGCCAGUGACAUCCAGGUGAGAGCCAAUCACGGUGAACCAUCAAGCCAGGCCAUGCUCCUGCCACCCCUCUGCUCUGGAGACCUGUUGCUCAGGAUCUCCAGGCUGCCUUCCUUCUAGGGUCCCCAAGAAGAGACAGCAGGCCCGAGGCCCUGGUCCUGCAGCAACCCCUAUCUUAUCCUCCCCAGACCCCCUCCCAAGCUCUCCCUCCACACCCCAGCUCUUCCCAAAGGCCUGUUUUUCCAGAAACACAAGCUGAGCGGAACCCCUCCCUGGGCCUGACUGAAAUAAGAACUCCCGCAGAAGAGCACUUUCUUGGAGAGCUCUGUGGAGCCUCCUGCCGACUCUGGACACAUCCAAGCUGGGUUUGCUAAAAUAAUAAUCUUUAGGAACCCAGUUCGCCUGCUGCCAAAAGCCUCGCCUGAGAGCUUCGUGUACCAGCAGCCCUGACCCAGAAAACUGACUGUGAGGUAACUCAGCCCAGAGGCCCGAGGGAGCCAUGCCCUUUUGUUCUCUCUCUCUGUCUCUCUCUGUCUCUGUCUCUCUCUCUGUCUCUCUGUCUCUCUCUCUCUCUGUCUCUCUCUCUCUCUCUCUCUCUCUCUCUCUCUCUCUCUCUCUCUCUCUCUCUCUGUUACCCCAUCCCUCUCCUUUUUCUCACAGAUGAAUUAAGCCUGAUGCUGUAGGCCAGACAUCCCAGCUACUCAAGAAGCUAAGGCAGGAGAAUUAAGCUCAAGGCCUCCUAACCGGGCUACAGAGUGAGUUCAAAUCCAGCCUGGGCAACCUAGUCAACCUCUGUCUCAAAAGCAAAAGAAAAACAAACAAAAAAAAAGCAAAAUAGGCCAGGUGGUGGUGUCGCACGCCUUUAAUCCCAGCACGUGGGAGGCAGAGGCAGGCAGAUCUCUGUGAUGGAGCUACCAUCAUCACUAUGACAGAGCACGCUGAGGCCCUGGGUUCAAGUCCCUGUAUGGCAACAAUAUCAAAAAUACAAAUGGCUUCCCCGUGGUGUGUUCUCGAGAUGGGCUGUCACAGACACAGCAACAAGGUGUUUGGCUGAGACUCCAGGGAGGUGGAAGCCCACAGAUCCGGUGGCCAUGGAGACUGACACCCUACAAGGCAGUCAGCAUGUCUCCAGUUCCAUCCCAUGGGGACCUGAAGGGGCCUUAAGGUGGUGUGACACCACAGGCUUAGCUCAGUUGUGGCAGAGGGCCACGGGCUCUGGAGGACGGUUCUGACCCAUGUCCUGGGCUCUGGAAGAAACCCUGUCUCUCCUGACUCUGCCUACUUGACUGGAAGAUGGCCAGGUCACCGGGCUGCACAUACCAGCUGUGGUUGGCUAACCCCAAAGGACUAUGCCAGCCAUGGCAGGCUCACGGCAUGCCACAUGUGAGAGUCUCCCAGAUUGAGGAAAGGAUACUGUCACUACCACCUUAGGGACCCUUGAGAUCUCUUUCCAGCAGCUGUGGAGGAAGGACAUCACUAAGAGGUGGAGACAGCAGAACAGGGAAUGAUCACCUGGCACCAAGGACCUGGCUGAGAACAGUCCACUGUGGACUCUGAUCUGCUCCCCAGGGAUCCCAGCAGACCCACAGUCACCUGCUUCUGAACAGAGGGGCCAGGUCUUCAUCUCCCACCGCUCACUUCCUUGGAGGACCUCCUGAACUCAUCUCUAGAAGAAGCCACCCACACUGGCUCUCUCUCUGCAGCGGUGACCUGACAGUGACCACAGCUGCUCACACUGACGGUUACUACUCCUGUUCUCCAGCCCGACUGUGGAUGUGAUGUGGUGGAUGUGAUGUGGUGCACCGUCUCCUGCCUUGUCUGUCCAGACAACCUGGGACAGAACAAACUCUUUUCUCCAGUAACUUGCUUUCGUCAGGCAUUUUGUUACAGCAAUCAAAAAAAAGGAACUGACCACCACCUCCCUGGAGGUGCUCCCUGGAGGUGCUCUCCCAGGGCACCAGCCCUCAGCCCUGGGGACCGUUUGUCCUAGGUCCCUUCAGAAACAGACUUGGUGAUAGCUUUGUUCUCAGGGCAAGUGGGGGUCCAUGAGGCAUUAGCUGGGGGUGUUCACUGCAGCUGCUCAUCUAGCCUGGAUCCAACUCACCGGAUGGCACCACGUGGCUGAUGGAGAAGCCCAGGUGCGGUGUGAAGAUCAGGGCAGAAGCCAGCUGCUUCCUGCGGAUCUGAGCCUCUGAGCCUGGGUCUCAAUUUUCCCAUUUUUGAAAUGGAGAUGUUGCCAUGACCUAGAAAUAAUUUCUGUGUACGGAACAGGUGACACUGCUUGUGAGGUGAUCCUCGAAAGCCACUCAGCAUAGCGCCCCACUGUGAGCGGUCAGGACCACAGUUUUGUAGCUUUUAUUUUGAACACUGUGAACGAACAGCCUAGCUAGUAAGGACAGGAUGCCAUCCCAGUGCACCAGAGCACCGAGUGGUGACGUGACAGAGUGGAGCACAGGGCACAUCUGGAGCAGAGCUAACACUCCGUGAACGAGCACUAACACUGGUGUCAACGGUUAUUAAUUAAUAUCGACGUCACAGACAUUGGUGACACCCAUAUUUGAUAACUAAGACCCAGGCUAGUAGAAACGGUCUCUGAGUUCCUCUCACCUGUGGACUCCGCACACCAUGAAGGAGGGAAUGCCUCUGUUCAAGGGAGUUUCUUCCACAAUAAUGAGGCCAUAGCUUGAUGGAUCAAACAUGGGAGGCCCUGGUCCAUGUGAAGUCCAGAGAAACAAAGUAUGGCCUUUAGGAUAAGUAUCUCCCAAGCCCUGCCUGGGGUAGACUUACCCUGACGGACAAUCUGACGCUCAGCUGUAACUGAGUGUCAUGUGUUUCUACUUGCUAGACCUUAUUACUACCAGUAACCAUGACAACAGCUCCUGUAACCUGAGGAGCCCAGAGACUCCCCAGGAUGCAGAGCUGGCCUGCCAGGGCUCUUGGCCUAGGCCCUGGGCUCAGUCACUUCCUGUGGCUGUCUUGAGCAGGGCUGGAUUUCUCUGCUCGAGUUGCCUUGGGCCAGCUGUCCUGAUUCCUGUGUCCUGACGGGGUUCAGUCUCUGGAUCAUGUUGUGCCUCUCCUGGAAUCUGGACCUUUGCUGUGUGCACUCCAGUGUCGCGCUGGCUCCCAGGCCAGCCACCUGCUCUGUCACAUCCUGGUUGAGUCCCUGAGCCCCAUCGGUGGCUCUAAUAGAACCCAUUCCAAGGCAGGCUGGUGCUGACGGACAGACAGACAACAGCAUGGAGCAAAGCAGCCAAGACGAAGCCAUGUGGGGAAGGGAAAGAAUCUGAGAUGACGCAAGCCUGGCCUCGGGUGACCCGGCCCCACUGUGGCGGCCAGCCACAGCUGGGUGUGGAGACCUUCUUACGCACAUCCAAAGCUGGCUGCAGCAUCUUGAGGUCAAUGCCAAGGUCAAGGCCGGGCCUUGAGUCACCUGCGGAUGGGAUUUGGGGUUCCUUGUCUGUUUCUGGCCUGCUCUUCUCCUCCAUCUAGCCUGCCUCUGCUGAGAAAGGGCCUCUGAGUAGGUCUCUCCAGCCAGUGCUCUGGAGGCAUUCCACCGUUAGACGCAGGCUCGGGAAGCUGGGUUUCUCUGAGCUACAGGCCAGGGCUGGGCUUCCAAGCCAGGCCCUCAUCACAGCCAAGGCAUGACUAGUGAGCCUCAACUGUGGGCCUCAGGCACACAAACAGCCCGUUCACACAGUGCAGGAAACUCAUAUAAAGCUGUAAAUGAAAACCCUC